RNAcentral lists this unclassified non-coding RNA (3298 nucleotides) under Patiria miniata (bat star). RNAcentral describes it as "uncharacterized LOC119733971, transcript variant X1". The record is from RNAcentral. Lineage: Eukaryota; Metazoa; Echinodermata; Asteroidea; Valvatida; Asterinidae.
CAGGGCCAAGUUUUACUUGUAGUUUUUACUGUAUUUUUUUGUAGUGUUUUAGGAUAGGAGUAGGUCCCCUGAAUAAAUCACCCCUUUUAUUAGAUGUCCCCUACCCUUUCAUAGAAGUGUGUACCCCUGAUUAGCUUUCCCCAGUAACAGUUCACAUUGUAUGUAAAUUGUUCCCAUGCCAUUGGUUCCCCCUGUCUCAAGACCAUGUGCCCUGCCCACCCUGUAAGACCACAGACCCCUCAUGAUCAGUAGCAGACCAGCGGCAGUAGAGAGAGGGCCGUGCAUUUUAUUACCUCUCUUUCCCCCUUGAUUUUCUUGGGUGCGCUUUGCCCUGUGUGAGAGUUUAUCUGCUCGAGUUAUUGGUGAGUUCUGAUAUAUGUUUUUUGUAUUUUCUCAUUAAGUGUAUUAUUAAGUUUUUUUAGAAGUUUUGAUCUGUUUUGGUAUUGUUCAGAGUUUUGACAAUCAAGUUUUAUAGAAUUCCUGAACAGCCUUGUAAGUUGUAGGAAUUAUCACUUGAAGUUUUGAGAUUGGGUUUAUUUAGAAAUUACUUGCAGAAAGUUAGCUUGUAUUGUUUGAUUUUGAUUGAUCAGGAUCAUUAGACAUGUUAGAGUUCUGUUAUUUUCGAGGAAAACUGUGUUGUCAGAAGUUUGAUUUAUUUCAUUGACUUAAUUUCCGAGGAAUGACUUGGAUAGAUGCAUUGCAUUGCCUUUUUCUUUUGACAUCUGAUUUCAGUAUUUUGGAUGGUGUUUUCUUCAUUACCUUUAUUGUUUUAUUGUACAUGUAUAAAGCCAAGAGGAGUGGUUUUCCCACAGACUUCUUACUGAUUAGUUUGCCAUGUUUAUUCAUUAGUUAGACUUGUCCAAGCUGUUCAUUUACUGUAGACUUGCAUUUCCUUUAUUUUGUAUUUAGCCACCUGUUUCAUUUAGUUAUUCUUAUCUGCUUUGGACCUGUGCAAGUUUACUAUUCAAGAAUGUUGAAUUACCCCCUUGGUGAUUAGUCCCACCUGGCAUUCAGAAGACAGGGACCACUGUUUAUCUUGCUCAUUAGGUAUUCACGAGAAAUUGUAGUGUUCUUGGCAAGAGUGUAUAGUAGUUCCACAUGGCAUUGUUUAUAUUACUUUAGACCUAGUGUAGCUUGAGUUGUUUGCAUUGUUUACUGUUUUUUAUUAUGUUCUUUACUCUCUUAUCUUGUUUUACAGAUUUUCUGCCAGAAGUGUCUUUAAGGUCUACUAAUAUACACACUGUGUUGGUUUGAGUCUUUGGUUUUAGGUUUAAGUUUUUGGUCUUCAUCUUUUGUUUUGAUUUUGAUUUGAAGUUCUUGUAAAUAAAUUCCUUUUGUCUUUUUUUGUUCGAAAUCUAGAAUUGUUUCCCUUGUCCCUAUUAAUUCAGUCUCCUCGCGCCUUUUCUCUUCAAAGAUCCUGAGUUUAGUUUGGUUAGAAUCCCCAUAGUUGUAUUAGUUUUCGCGAGUUCCCCAGGUGUGUCAUUUUUCCAGGUUACAUUUUUUUCUAUUUUUGGUGGAAGAUCCGGGUAGGGAAUAUAUUUUUUUAGUAAAAUUUAGCCAGGAAUUGUUUUGAUAGGGACGACAGGCAUUUUUUCAAAGGUUUUUUUCUGUCUUUGGUGGUCAGUUUAGAUAAGUCAAGUAACAGAGUCUAUAAACCAACACAGUGUUGUUAUAUUGGUGGAUCGGACAAGUACAUGAUGGUGGAUGUCAGGACUCCACUCCAGCUCUGUGGUUUCGACCCAGUACCUGCUGAAACCUGCAACCUUGAAGUCCCUGAUGUGCAGCCGCAGUCUGAGAUGCUGAGACUCCUGCAGCACCAGUCCAGUAUGCAAGAGGUUAUUCUGCAGCAAUUUCGGCAGAUAAACGCACUCAAGGAGAUGAUGCGGCAGGUGAUGGGCGAACAGAUGAGGCAGAGAUGCUACAUACAUAGUCUGGAGUGCGCCCUGUCAGAUGUUAAGGUGAAUCAGCGUCCCCCAAAUCAGCCAGUUCCAGAAGUCCCCAUCCCACAUCGGCCAGUACCGAAAACCCCCAACCCGCAGCCAGUGCACGAAGUCCCUAAGCCCAUCCCCCAGCCAGCGCCAGAAACACACGCAAGCACCCCUGAUGAGGCGACACAGGCCAGCUCUCAGGGAGGUAUGAGUUCCGAAAGGAUAAGCCUCAGGGAAGCUCAGCUGAAAGAUCCCGCAAUCAGGCGGGUUGUUGAGCUCAAGACGGCAAGCCCCCUGAUGACAAGGAGGCAAAUGUCCCAAGAAACCAGAGUGGUGCAGAAGUUGCUAGGAGUAUGGCGUCGACUAGAGGUGAAGGGAGGACUUCUGAUGUACAAGAAGGGCGGCGGGAAGGCUACAUGUAGAUACCUGGCAGUGCUUCCCCGACAGCAGAGAGAGGAAGUGUUUCAUAGUCUCCACGGAAGCAUGGACAAGUUCGGCUAUGGAAGAAUCCUGAAGCUUGUCAAGGACAGGUAUUAUUGGCCUAGUCUUCAUAAUGAAGCAAUGGCAUACAUGAGGUGUCAUCGCAGGGGCGUACAGCGAAACGGGAGGGAAGCGUCCGGUGAGAUCUCACCGCCUCCAGAGUUCCGGGAUGACAGAGGACCCUGAUCACUGUAUUUUUGUCUAGUUUAAAUUUGUGGUUGACUUAAAUGUCCUCAAUAAUGUAUUGAAGCGUAUUGUGUAUUUUAGCAUUUUGUUUGUUUGUUUUAAUCAUGUUUAAUUGAAUUAAGUUGAUUUUUAUUGCCAUUGCUGGGGACAGCAAUAUUUUAAAGAUGGCGUGAGUGUGGCAGGGCCAAGUUUUACUUGUAGUUUUUACUGUAUUUUUUUGUAGUGUUUUAGGAUAGGAGUAGGUCCCCUGAAUAAAUCACCCCUUUUAUUAGAUGUCCCCUACCCUUUCAUAGAAGUGUGUACCCCUGAUUAGCUUUCCCCAGUAACAGUUCACAUUGUAUGUAAAUUGUUCCCAUGCCAUUGGUUCCCCCUGUCUCAAGACCAUGUGCCCUGCCCACCCUGUAAGACCACAGACCCCUCAUGAUCAGUAGCAGACCAGCGGCAGUAGAGAGAGGACCGUGCAUUUUAUUACCUCUCUUUCCCCCUUGAUUUUCUUGGGUGCGCUUUGCCCUGUGUGAGAGUUUAUCUGCUCGAGUUAUUGAUUUUCUGCCAGAAGUGUCUUUAAGGUCUACUAAUAUACACACUGUGUUGGUUUGAGUCUUUGGUUUUAGGUUUAAGUUUUUGGUCUUCAUCUUUUGUUUUGAUUUUGAUUUGAAGUUCUUGUAAAUAAAUUCCUUUUGUCUUUUUUUGUUCGAAAUCUAGAA